This 343-nucleotide unclassified non-coding RNA is filed under the name soil metagenome. RNAcentral describes it as "partial contains 5.8S ribosomal RNA, internal transcribed spacer 2, and large subunit ribosomal RNA". The stretch from base 1 to 120 matches the Rfam family "5.8S ribosomal RNA", at positions 35 to 154 of the family's 154-position model. The record is from RNAcentral.
GAUGAAGAACGUAGCGAAAUGCGAUAAGUAAUGUGAAUUGCAAAAUUCAGUGAAUCAUCGAAUCUUUGAACGCACAUUGCGCCCGCCAGCAUUCUGGCGGGCAUGCCUGUUCGAGCGUCAUUUCAACCCUCGAGCCCCCCCGGGGGCCUCGGUGUUGGGGGACGGCACACCAGCCGCCCCCGAAAUGCAGUGGCGACCCCGCCGCAGCCUCCCCUGCGUAGUAGCACACACCUCGCACCGGAGCGCGGAGGCGGUCACGCCGUAAAACGCCCAACUUUCUUAGAGUUGACCUCGGAUCAGGUAGGAAUACCCGCUGAACUUAAGCAUAUCAAUAAGCGGAGGA